Molecule: ribosomal RNA, 504 nt
Filed under: uncultured bacterium
Lineage: Bacteria
Description: partial 16S ribosomal RNA
Rfam family: Bacterial small subunit ribosomal RNA
Source: RNAcentral
GAUAAACGCUAGCGGCAGGCUUAACACAUGCAAGUCGAGGGGCAGCAUAGAUUGUAGCAAUACAAUUGGUGGCGACCGGCGCACGGGUGCGUAACGCGUAUGCAACCUACCCGUCACAGGGGGAUAAUCCGGAGAAAUCUGGUCUAAUACCCCAUAACAUAUGGACCGGCAUCGGUUCAUGUUGAAAUUUUCGGAGGUGACGGAUGGGCAUGCGUAGCAUUAGCUUGUUGGUGAGGUAACGGCUCACCAAGGCGACGAUGCUUAGGGGGACUGAGAGGUUUUCCCCCCACACUGGUACUGAGACACGGACCAGACUCCUACGGGAGGCAGCAGUGAGGAAUAUUGGUCAAUGGGCGCAAGCCUGAACCAGCCAUGCCGCGUGCAGGACGACGGCUCUAUGAGUUGUAAACUGCUUUUGUACGAGGGUAAAGUGGGUUACGUGUAACCUUUUGAAAGUAUCGUACGAAUAAGGAUCGGCUAACUCCGUGCCAGCAGCCGCCGUAA